This 253-nucleotide ribosomal RNA is filed under the name uncultured bacterium. RNAcentral describes it as "partial 16S ribosomal RNA". It matches the Rfam family "Bacterial small subunit ribosomal RNA", at positions 524 to 776 of the family's 1533-position model. The record is from RNAcentral.
UACAGAGGUCCCGAGCGUUGUUCGGAUUCACUGGGCGUAAAGGGUGCGUAGGCGGCCAAGUAAGUCUGAUGUGAAAUCUCCAGGCUCAACCUGGAAAUGGCAUUGGAGACUGCUGGGCUGGAGGCUUGGAGGGGGGACUGGAAUGCUUGGUGUAGCAGUGAAAUGCGUAGAGAUCAAGCGGAACACCUGUGGCGAAGGCGAGUCCCUGGACAAGUCCUGACGCUGAGGCACGAAAGCUAGGGGAGCAAACAGG